AAAAGUGAGUGAAUGGACUGAAAAUAGUUGAAAAAAGUGAGAAAUCGAGCAAAUAGUUGCUCACUUUUUAACAUGUUGAAAUUAGUUGGAAAAAGUGAGAAAAGUGAGUGCGUGGAAUCCCUACAGUUGGAACUCAAAAAAAUUUGAACGGAUUUAC
Bradysia coprophila is the source of this 157-nucleotide long non-coding RNA. NCBI's taxonomy places the organism in Eukaryota, Metazoa, Arthropoda, Insecta, Diptera, Sciaridae. The record is from RefSeq and is a predicted model, not a curated record.